GACGAACGCUGGCGGCGUGCUUAACACAUGCAAGUCGAACGGAAAGGCCCUGCUUUUGUGGGGUGCUCGAGUGGCGAACGGGUGAGUAACACGUGAGUAACCUGCCCUUGGCUUUGGGAUAACUUCAGGAAACUGGGGCUAAUACCGGAUAGGAGCUCCUGCUGCAUGGUGGGGUUUGGAAAGUUUCGGCGGUUGGGGAUGGACUCGCGGCUUAUCAGCUUGUUGGUUGGGUAGUGGCUUACCCAGGCUUUGACGGGUAGCCGGCCUGAGAGGGUGAACGGCCACCUUGGGACUGAGAUACGGCCCAGACUCCUAUGGGAGGCAGCAGUGGGGAACAUUGCACAAUGGGCGGAAGCCUGAUGCAGAAACGCUGCGUGCGGGAUGACGGCCUUCGGGUUGUAAACCGCUUUAGCCUGUGACGAAGCGUGAGUGACGGUAAUGGGUAAAGAAGCACCGGCUAACUACGUG
This 468-nucleotide ribosomal RNA is filed under the name uncultured bacterium. Its description in RNAcentral is "partial 16S ribosomal RNA". It matches the Rfam family "Bacterial small subunit ribosomal RNA", at positions 28 to 507 of the family's 1533-position model. The record is from RNAcentral.